RNAcentral lists this ribosomal RNA (162 nucleotides) under Acanthamoeba castellanii. It matches the Rfam family "5.8S ribosomal RNA". Rfam says of the family: 5.8S ribosomal RNA (5.8S rRNA) is a component of the large subunit of the eukaryotic ribosome. It is transcribed by RNA polymerase I as part of the 45S precursor that also contains 18S and 28S rRNA. Lineage: Eukaryota; Discosea; Longamoebia; Acanthamoebidae. The record is from RNAcentral.
AACUCCUAACAACGGAUAUCUUGGUUCUCGCGAGGAUGAAGAACGCAGCGAAAUGCGAUACGUAGUGUGAAUCGCAGGGAUCAGUGAAUCAUCGAAUCUUUGAACGCAAGUUGCGCUCUCGUGGUUUAACCCCCCGGGAGCACGUUCGCUUGAGUGCCGCUU